RNAcentral lists this ribosomal RNA (388 nucleotides) under uncultured bacterium. Its description in RNAcentral is "bacterial SSU rRNA". It matches the Rfam family "Bacterial small subunit ribosomal RNA", at positions 28 to 417 of the family's 1533-position model. The record is from RNAcentral.
GACGAACGCUGGCGGCGUGCUUAACACAUGCAAGUCGAGCGGUAAGGCCCCUUCGGGGGUACACGAGCGGCGAACGGGUGAGUAACACGUGGGUGACCUGCCCUCAGCUCUGGGAUAAGCCUGGGAAACUGGGUCUAAUACCGGAUAUGACUCCAUGACGCAUGUCGUGGGGUGGAAAGCCUUGUGCGGCUGGGGAUGGGCCCGCGGCCUAUCAGCUUGUUGGUGGGGUGAUGGCCUACCAAGGCGACGACGGGUAGCCGGCCUGAGAGGGCGACCGGCCACACUGGGACUGAGACACGGCCCAGACUCCUACGGGAGGCAGCAGCGGGGAAUCUUGCGCAAUGGGCGAAAGCCUGACGCAGCGACGCCGCGUGAGGGAUGACGGCCU